AUACUCUGGUUUCUCUUCAGAUCGGAUAAAUCUUUUGCCUUUUACUAAAGAUUUCCUUAGAGAGGAACAAUACUGAGUCUUAACCCAAUUUUUUGAGGCCUUGCUUUAGCAAGACU
This is a small nuclear RNA of Heterocephalus glaber (naked mole-rat), 116 nucleotides long. Its record names the gene U5. It matches the Rfam family "U5 spliceosomal RNA". From Rfam's summary of the family: U5 RNA is a component of both types of known spliceosome. The precise function of this molecule is unknown, though it is known that the 5' loop is required for splice site selection and p220 binding, and that both the 3' stem-loop and the Sm site are important for Sm protein binding and cap methylation. NCBI's taxonomy places the organism in Eukaryota, Metazoa, Chordata, Mammalia, Rodentia, Bathyergidae. The record is from Ensembl.